This 375-nucleotide ribosomal RNA is filed under the name uncultured bacterium. RNAcentral describes it as "bacterial SSU rRNA". It matches the Rfam family "Bacterial small subunit ribosomal RNA", at positions 521 to 896 of the family's 1533-position model. The record is from RNAcentral.
UAAUACGUAGGGGGCGAGCGUUGUCCGGAAUUACUGGGCGUAAAGCGCACGCAGGCGGCCAUAUAAGUCGGGUAUGAAAUUGCUUGGCUUAACCAAGCAACUGUAUUCGAUACUGUGUGGCUUGAGUACGAGAGGGGAAAGUGGAAUGUACAGUGUAGCGGUGAAAUGCGUAGAGAUUGUACAGAACACCGGUAGCGAAGGCAACUUUCUGGCUCGAUACUGACGCUGAGGUGCGAAAGUCUGGGGAGCGAACGGGAUUAGAUACCCCGGUAGUCCAGACCGUAAACGAUGGGUACUAAGUAUAGGGGAUACGACUCUUCUGUGCUGUAGCUAACGCAUUAAGUACCCCGCCUGGGGAGUACGGCCGCAAGGUUA